This 217-nucleotide ribosomal RNA is filed under the name uncultured bacterium. RNAcentral's name for it is "partial 16S ribosomal RNA". It matches the Rfam family "Bacterial small subunit ribosomal RNA", at positions 116 to 334 of the family's 1533-position model. The record is from RNAcentral.
CAUCGGAACGUGUCCUGUAGUGGGGGAUAACCCGGCGAAAGCCGGACUAAUACCGCAUAUGCUCUACGGAGGAAAGUGGGGGACCUGCAAGGGCCUCACGCUAUGGGAGCGGCCGAUGUCCGAUUAGCUUGUUGGUGAGGUAAUGGCUCACCAAGGCGACGAUCGGUAGCUGGUCUGAGAGGAUGAUCAGCCACACUGGGACUGAGACACGGCCCAG